GGUCAGUGAUGAGUUGGCAUAUGUUAUCUGAUUCUAAAGUUGAUGUUCAUUGUCACUUUAGCUCUAGAAUUACUCUGAGACCUA
This is a small nucleolar RNA of Alligator mississippiensis (American alligator), 84 nucleotides long. It matches the Rfam family "Small nucleolar RNA SNORD45". Rfam says of the family: U45 belongs to the C/D class of snoRNA which contain the C (UGAUGA) and D (CUGA) box motifs. Most of the members of the box C/D family function in directing site-specific 2'-O-methylation of substrate RNAs. The record is from Rfam. NCBI's taxonomy places the organism in Eukaryota, Metazoa, Chordata, Crocodylia, Alligatoridae.